Molecule: long non-coding RNA, 713 nt
Organism: Gorilla gorilla gorilla (western lowland gorilla)
Lineage: Eukaryota; Metazoa; Chordata; Mammalia; Primates; Hominidae
Exons: 3
Source: RefSeq, a predicted model, not a curated record
GCACAAUAUUGUGAAGGUACUAAAUGCCACUGAAUUGUUCACUUUCAAGUGGUUAGUUUUAUGUUGUGUUAAAUUUCACCUCAAUUAAAAACAAGCUGCCGUGCAGAGAACUAGGGUGACCUGGGCACUCAGGGAAGGCCCCUUUUUGAGGUAUCGGAGCAGAGCCCUGAGUGCUGAGAAGGAACCAGCCAUGCAGAGGGCUCCAGGCGGAGGGAAGCACGCAAACAGAGGCCCUGAAAUGGGACGCACUUGGCCCUGGUGAGGCACAGCCAGCCAGCCAGUGCGGCUGAAGGGCUGGAUUGUGUCAUCUGCAGAGAGCCGAGGGGAGAGAGGGCUGGGAGCUGAUCCCAAAAGAGGGCAGGGGCCAGACUGCAUGGGACCAUGGGCCACAGAGAGGGGCUGGUGACAGGAGGCGCUGGUGGGUUUUAAGGAGAGAGCAGCAGAAGAGGCAGAGAAGUCCCUGUCCCGGAGUUAACAGGCUGGUGGGGAGCGGCUGAUGGUAAACCAGGCAGAAGCAAGGACUCCAUGCGCUGUGCGGCCUAUGGGGAUGGGCACCAUUGUGGAGGGUGGGAAGUGGUCACGCCCCAGCACCCACGGGCCCUUGAUGGCAAUGGGGUGUACUGAUGAGUUUUCCAGAGGCCACAGAAUGCAUGCUAUCACAACAGACAGAAAACAGAAGCAGAGGAGAAUCCAGAUGUCUUCUAUUAAGCCAG